CUUACCAGAUUGUAUUGUAAUU
Molecule: microRNA, 22 nt
Filed under: Oryctolagus cuniculus (rabbit)
Lineage: Eukaryota; Metazoa; Chordata; Mammalia; Lagomorpha; Leporidae
Also listed under: 1 other name
Description: ocu-miR-374a-3p
Gene: ocu-miR-374a-3p
Source: miRBase by way of RNAcentral